Non-coding RNA from Phrynosoma platyrhinos (Desert horned lizard), 71 nucleotides. NCBI's taxonomy places the organism in Eukaryota, Metazoa, Chordata, Lepidosauria, Squamata, Phrynosomatidae. The record is from the annotation of a GenBank genome assembly.
ACUAGUGUGGUGUAGUGGUUUGAGCGCUGGACUACGACUCUGGAGACCAGGGUUUGAAUCCCUGCUCAGCC